AGUCGAGCGAACGGACGAGAAGCUUGCUUCUCUGAUGUUAGCGGCGGACGGGUGAGUAACACGUGGAUAACCUACCUAUAAGACUGGGAUAACUUCGGGAAACCGGAGCUAAUACCGGAUAAUAUUUUGAACCGCAUGGUUCAAAAGUGAAAGACGGUCUUGCUGUCACUUAUAGAUGGAUCCGCGCUGCAUUAGCUAGUUGGUAAGGUAACGGCUUACCAAGGCAACGAUGCAUAGCCGACCUGAGAGGGUGAUCGGCCACACUGGAACUGAGACACGGUCCAGACUCCUACGGGAGGCAGCAGUAGGGAAUCUUCCGCAAUGGGCGAAAGCCUGACGGAGCAACGCCGCGUGAGUGAUGAAGGUCUUCGGAUCGUAAAACUCUGUUAUUAGGGAAGAACAUAUGUGUAAGUAACUGUGCACAUCUUGACGGUACCUAAUCAGAAAGCCACGGCUAACUACGUGCCAGCAGCCGCGGUAAUACGUAGGUGGCAAGCGUUAUCCGGAAUUAUUGGGCGUAAAGCGCGCGUAGGCGGUUUUUUAAGUCUGAUGUGAAAGCCCACGGCUCAACCGUGGAGGGUCAUUUGAAACUGGAAAACUUGAGUGCAGAAGAGGAAAGUGGAAUUCCAUGUGUAGCGGUGAAAUGCGCAGAGAUAUGGAGGAACACCAGUGGCGAAGGCGACUUUCUGGUC
RNAcentral lists this ribosomal RNA (692 nucleotides) under uncultured Staphylococcus sp. RNAcentral's name for it is "bacterial SSU rRNA". It matches the Rfam family "Bacterial small subunit ribosomal RNA", at positions 60 to 734 of the family's 1533-position model. The record is from RNAcentral. Lineage: Bacteria; Bacillati; Bacillota; Bacilli; Caryophanales; Staphylococcaceae.